UGGCGAACGGGUGAGUAACGCGUGAGGAACCUGCCUCAAAGAGGGGGACAACAGUUGGAAACGACUGCUAAUACCGCAUAAGCCCACGGGUCGGCAUCGACCUGAGGGAAAAGGAGCAAUCCGCUUUGAGAUGGCCUCGCGUCCGGUUAGCUAGUUGGUGAGGUAACGGCCCACCAAGGCGACGAUCGGUAGCCGGACUGAGAGGUUGAACGGCCACAUUGGGACUGAGACACGGCCCAG
Molecule: ribosomal RNA, 240 nt
Filed under: uncultured bacterium
Lineage: Bacteria
Description: partial 16S ribosomal RNA
Rfam family: Bacterial small subunit ribosomal RNA
Source: RNAcentral